UACGGAGGGGGCAAGCGUUGUUCGGAAUUACUGGGCGUAAAGGGCGCGUAGGCGGCCUGUUGCGUCAGGUGUGAAAGCCCCGGGCUCAACCUGGGAUGUGCACUUGAUACGGGCGGGCUGGAAUCCGGGAGAGGAUGGUGGAAUUCCCAGUGUAGAGGUGAAAUUCGUAGAUAUUGGGAAGAACACCGAUGGCGAAGGCAGCCAUCUGGACCGGUAUUGACGCUGAGGCGCGAAAGCGUGGGGAGCAAACAGG
This 253-nucleotide ribosomal RNA is filed under the name uncultured bacterium. RNAcentral describes it as "partial 16S ribosomal RNA". It matches the Rfam family "Bacterial small subunit ribosomal RNA", at positions 524 to 776 of the family's 1533-position model. The record is from RNAcentral. RNAcentral also lists the same sequence under 1 other name.